UGGCUCAGAUUGAACGCUGGCGGCAUGCCUUACACAUGCAAGUCGAACGGCAGCACGGGUGCUUGCACCUGGUGGCGAGUGGCGAACGGGUGAGUAAUACAUCGGAACAUGUCCUGUAGUGGGGGAUAGCCCGGCGAAAGCCGGAUUAAUACCGCAUACGAUCUACGGAUGAAAGCGGGGGACCUUCGGGCCUCGCGCUAUAGGGUUGGCCGAUGGCUGAUUAGCUAGUUGGUGGGGUAAAGGCCUACCAAGGCGACGAUCAGUAGCUGGUCUGAGAGGACGACCAGCCACACUGGGACUGAGACACGGCCCAGACUCCUACGGGAGGCAGCAGUGGGGAAUUUUGGACAAUGGGCGAAAGCCUGAUCCAGCAAUGCCGCGUGUGUGAAGAAGGCCUUCGGGUUGUAAAGCACUUUUGUCCGGAAAGAAAACCUUUGGCCUAAUACCUUGGGGGGAUGACGGUACCGGAAGAAUAAGCACCGGCUAACUACGUGCCAGCAGCCGCGGUAAUACGUAGGGUGCAAGCGUUAAUCGGAAUUACUGGGCGUAAAGCGUGCGCAGGCGGUUUGUUAAGACCGAUGUGAAAUCCCCG
Molecule: ribosomal RNA, 592 nt
Filed under: Burkholderia sp. CEL3FB
Lineage: Bacteria; Pseudomonadati; Pseudomonadota; Betaproteobacteria; Burkholderiales; Burkholderiaceae
Description: bacterial SSU rRNA
Rfam family: Bacterial small subunit ribosomal RNA
Source: RNAcentral